This 568-nucleotide unclassified non-coding RNA is filed under the name Hevea brasiliensis (rubber tree). The record is from RNAcentral. Lineage: Eukaryota; Viridiplantae; Streptophyta; Magnoliopsida; Malpighiales; Euphorbiaceae.
GGUCUGCUGCAGGUAAUAUCGAGAAACAACCAUUGCGCAGGACAGUAGCAACGUCAGCUUGGUAUGCACGUAGCUCCUCAAGAGCCUUUUCAGCAUUUGUUUCUGUGAUAACCCCGACCGCUGCAUUUGCAGCCAAUAUCAUCAAGAUAACAGAAGGUUCAAUGAAGGCUGAUAUUACCGUCUCUCCAUUAGCAAGUGCCAAAAAAAAGGAAAUAAAAGCAGCUGCAAUUAGAAUCUUAACAAGCAAAUCAUUAAAUUGCUUCAGCACCAACUUCCAGAAAGGAGUGCUUUUUUCUUGAGGCAACACAUUUUUGCCAUAUGAGUGUGCAUGUUGUGUAACCUGUAAAUCUGUAAGACCUUUAGUUGGAUCCACCGCGAAGAAUUCAAGAACCUCUGAAACAGAUCGGGCGUAAGCGUCCUCCAUUGAAGGAGGUCAGGUCAGGUCAGGUUACGUCAGGUCAGUUUCUUCUGAAAUUGAACAGUGUUUUUGACUCUUUGAUGAUCUUGUGCAACUGGUGCCUGCUGGGAUGAUCUUCGGCAACUCUAGUAAAGCGAGAUCUGAUAAAAG